AUAUAGCUCAAUGGCACAGCAACUGCCUGGUAAGCACAAGGUCCUGAGUUCAAUUCCCAGUAU
This 63-nucleotide transfer RNA is filed under the name Cavia porcellus (domestic guinea pig). It matches the Rfam family "tRNA", at positions 5 to 66 of the family's 71-position model. Rfam says of the family: Transfer RNA (tRNA) molecules are approximately 80 nucleotides in length. Their secondary structure includes four short double-helical elements and three loops (D, anti-codon, and T loops). The record is from Rfam by way of RNAcentral. Lineage: Eukaryota; Metazoa; Chordata; Mammalia; Rodentia; Caviidae.